Molecule: ribosomal RNA, 497 nt
Filed under: uncultured bacterium
Lineage: Bacteria
Description: partial 16S ribosomal RNA
Rfam family: Bacterial small subunit ribosomal RNA
Source: RNAcentral
GAUGAACGCUGGCGGCGUGCCUAAUACAUGCAAGUCGAGCGAACAGACGAGGAGCUUGCUCCUCUGACGUUAGCGGCGGACGGGUGAGUAACACGUGGAUAACCUACCUAUAAGACUGGGAUAACUUCGGGAAACCGGAGCUAAUACCGGAUAAUAUAUUGAACCGCAUGGUUCAAUAGUGAAAGACGGUUUUGCUGUCACUUAUAGAUGGAUCCGCGCCGCAUUAGCUAGUUGGUAAGGUAACGGCUUACCAAGGCAACGAUGCGUAGCCGACCUGAGAGGGUGAUCGGCCACACUGGAACUGAGACACGGUCCAGACUCCUACGGGAGGCAGCAGUAGGGAAUCUUCCGCAAUGGGCGAAAGCCUGACGGAGCAACGCCGCGUGAAUGAUGAAGGUCUUCGGAUCGUAAGACUCUGUUAUUAGGGAAGAACAAAUGUGUAAGUAACUAUGCACGUCUUGACGGUACCUAAUCAGAAAGCCACGGCUAACUACGUG